RNAcentral lists this small RNA (186 nucleotides) under Chelonoidis abingdonii (Abingdon island giant tortoise). Its description in RNAcentral is "TUC338 (ENSCABG00000017885.1)". The record is from RNAcentral. Lineage: Eukaryota; Metazoa; Chordata; Testudines; Testudinidae.
UUGACAGCAGCAGAGACUGAGGUCCUCUAUUUAUCCAUAGAAGAGUUAUAGCAUGGCCACUUGCAGUGUAAGAUUCCCCCCACUCCUGCUACCAGCGUUCCUCAAGUCUGUUCUGAUACAGACAUCUUUAACUUUAGGGACAAGUUUACCUUCUUAUUCUACAUAAUCCUUGAUCUAAUGUCUACC